GGUGGAGCCUAGCAGUUUGGCCCCAGAGUUUUUGUCUUUAACCUCUUUGCCUUCUUGCCUCAGCGAACUGAGCUUGGCAUAGAGAAAACUCCCAUCCCCAGAGGAAAAGAAACCGGGGAGAGAGAAAGAGGCAGAGAGAGGCUGUGGGUUGCAGUGUUUGGCUCCAAGUGGGCUCAGGUCGCCUGUCUGAGCAAGAGAGACCAACUGCUGGAAAGAGGAAGCGGCGAUGAGAGCCCUGCUGAGAGCUGACCCUGGCUCUGACCCCUCUGGACUCUCUAAAAGCAGAGAAAUGAGAGCUGAUUUAUGUCCUGACCCUUUAACACUACUCUGAAAGCGGGUGGUGACCUUAUUUAUCUUAUUCACGGCUGUGUCCCCACUGGUUUCUCUCGGGUGCUCAGAAAAGCCUUGUGGAAUUAACGUGGAAAGUGACUGGCCUGGUGUCAGACACCAUCGUUUAAACUUAGGUCUCUUUGCCCUGAGGUGAAGCGGGAUGUUCUCAUUUCCCUGCGUUCUGGACGGGAGAAUGAAUGGAAUUUAGGUUCUUGUGUCUGGAAACAGCCCUGCUGCACCCAUCAAGGCUGGGGGAGAAGCUCACAGCAUUUAUGAUUCAAUUCAACUCAGUGUGCAUCUCUUCGGCUCUGAGCACGUACCCAGCAUUGUAUCUGGUGUCCCAAUAACACUAAAGGAACUGAAGACAGGCAGCAUCUCAGCCUUUGGGAAGCUUCUCCUACAGACACGGAGAUAAAGUGAACGUCUCAAAGCAUCUUACUCUUUCUCUUCCAGUGUGAAAUGAGGAGCUUGUUUUUAUCACAUGUAUGCUCCUACUACAUGGGAAAUCUCUCUCUCUGCUAAUUGCUGUCAUCAUCCAUCAAGAUCACCAACAGAGCAGUAUUCCAGCCAGAGAGGCCUUGGGGCCCAGUCCACUCCAGGGAAUGAAAGGAGAAGCAGCAAGGGGCGGUGGAAGAAUCCUGAACCGGGUGACAGGACACGUGGAUUCUCGCCCUGGUGACGGGCCACUCCAUUCACCUCAUAAGGCUCCGUGUCCUUGGCUGGGGUGGGAGGGAGAUGGGUUAGAUUCAAGGGUCGUGAACCAUUGGCCUAAUCUAGCCCUCAGAAAUGUCUGCUUGGCCUAUAUGGUCCCUAAAAUAAUCCAAGUUAAUUUCCAGAAUUUAAAACUCAGACUAGGUUUUAUAUGAGCACCCCAGUGUUUACUCAGCACUAAUCACAAUAACCAGGACAUGAAGCAGUCUAAACGUGCACUGACAGAGGGGCGGAUAAAGCAGAUGCGGUAACACAUAUAUACCGCAGAAUAUUAUUCAACCAUAAAGAAGAAAGAAAUAACACCAUUUGCAGCAAGGGGGAUGGUCCUAGAGAUGGUCAUACUGAGUGACAUAAGUCAGAGAAGGACAGAUAUCAUAUGAUACCACUUAUACGUGAAAUUAAAAAAAAGGGCACAAAGAAAUUUAUUACAAAACAGAAAUAGAAUUACAGAUGUAGAGAACAAUCUUAUGGAUAACAGCGAGGGAAAGGGAGGAUAAAUUGGGAGACU
Molecule: long non-coding RNA, 1549 nt
Filed under: Capra hircus (goat)
Lineage: Eukaryota; Metazoa; Chordata; Mammalia; Artiodactyla; Bovidae
Description: lncRNA (ENSCHIG00000001545.1)
Source: RNAcentral